RNAcentral lists this ribosomal RNA (5195 nucleotides) under Tricholoma flavovirens. RNAcentral's name for it is "large subunit ribosomal RNA". It matches the Rfam family "Bacterial large subunit ribosomal RNA". The record is from RNAcentral. Lineage: Eukaryota; Fungi; Basidiomycota; Agaricomycetes; Agaricales; Tricholomataceae.
UAUAUAUUUAAAUAUAUAAAAAAAAAGUAUUUCAAAGGGGUUAUUAAGGAAAACUAAGGCAAAUUUAUACAAAAGGAGGUUAUAAACCAAAAGCUUCAAGAAAUAACACAAAUUAUUUUCUGAUAUGAAAAAAGCGAUCCUAAGGUAAACCUUGUUUAAAAUUUUACUUCCUGAAGUAAAACAUUUUAUUAGGGAAAGGAAAGGAAAUCAACCGAGACUCUGAAAGUAAUGGUGAGUGAAAUCAGAUUAGCCUAAAUUAAUAUUAUAAAUUGAAUAAUUAAACAUAUUUAUUAAAGAAUGGAUCUUUUGAUUUAUCAAUAGUAAUUAUUUAUAAUCAAUAUGUAUUAAUUAGCAUAUAUUUUUUUUUUAUUGGUAUUAAAAAACAAUAAAAAGAAAUCUUUGCUCUAAAGAAGGUCACAAUACUCUAAGUCCUGUAGAUUUAUAAUUUAAUUAAAAAAGAAUAAAUUAGUAUUUAUAAAAAUAUUUAAUUAGAAAAAAAAAAUUAAUUUGUUAAGUUAUAUUUUUUUAAAGCUCAAAUUAAAUUCUUUAUUAUCUCUAAUCAUUAUUCUAUUAUAAAGUACAAUGAGAGAAAACUUGUUGGAAUAUAGGGGAACCAUCCUCUAAGGCUAAGUAUUAUAAAUUUAGCGAUAGUGAAUAAGUACUGUAAAGGAAAAGUUUGAAAAGCGAGUGGUAUACAAAAAGUGAGUUUUUAAUAAUUUUAUUUUAAAUAUUAAAUAAAAUACAGCUAAUUUGGAAAUUCUUAAAAAGAUCUCCAGUAAAAUUAAUGUAUAAAAAGGAUGAUUAAAAUAAAUAUUAAAAAUGAAUUGAUGAAAUAGAUCAUGAAUUAGUAACUCUAUAAGCAGUCGAAAUUCUACUUUAAGAAAAAGAUUAAUGAAUGACGGCGUACCUUUUGCAUAAUGGGUCAGCAAGUUAAUAGGAGUAGCAAGGUUUAAAGCCCUAGCGAAAGCGACUGGACUAUAAUAAUAUUAUAACAAAAUAAUAAAUUAAAUAUAGUGAUGGAUAAGUUACUUCUAUUAGACCCGAAGCCAGGUGAUCUUACCAAGACCAGAUUAUAAUGGAUCGAACGGGUGAAUGUUGCAUAAUUCUCCGAUGAGUUUUGGUAAGCGGUGAAAUGCCAAUCUGACCUGGUGCUAGCUGGUUUUCUACCGAAACAUAUUUAAGUAUGAUGUCUACACAAAAUUUAUGGAGGUACAGCAAGGCAAUUCCCAACAAGUUUAAGAGUUGUGAUUAAUUUAAUCACUUCAAUCUUUUAGGCGUUUAGGUUGUGGGGACCUCGAAAAUCUUACCUUUGGAAGCGAAUCUCGGAAUUACAUAAAUUGAUGGUAGAUAUUCAGACUACUCAUGCUAAGUUGGGUAGUCAAGACGGAAACAGCCGAGAACACUGAUCAAGGUCCCAAAUGAUUGUUAAGUGAAAUUAAGGAUGUAGCAAUAUCAUAUACAGCUGUGAAGUGAGCCUGGUAGUCGCUACUUAUAAUGAUCGUAUGUAACAACGCAUCAGCAGUCUAGAUAGUAGCACCGAAAAUUUAACGGGUCUUAAACAAUCAACCGAUAUCGUGUUGGUUUUGAAUAAAAAUUUAAAUUGAUAUUUAAUAUUUAAUAUUUAUAAUUUAUAUCUUUUCAUUUUAUUCUUAAUCUAGGUAGUAGAACAUUCAGUCAUACUUAUUAUAAAACAGUGUUUCAUUGUUUUUUAGGUUACUGAAGAGAGAAUGCUGACAUGAGUAACGUAAAAAGAAGUUAUAAUACUUCUCGCCGAAUACAAAAGGGUUGCAAAUUGGAAAGGUUAAUCCGUUUUGUGUGAAUGCGGCCUCUAAGGACCAAAACCAAAGUUUUGGCUGAUGAGUAUAUAAUAGAAAGUCCAUUGAUUUUUAUUAAUGGUCCAAGAAAAUAAUAUUAUAAAUAACUUAUUCGAAGAUAUAAUUCUUUUUAACAUAUUUCUAUAUUAACAAAAUAAUAUCUUUAUUUUUAAUUCUAUACGUAACUCUAAUAGUGUUUAGAUAAUAUUAGAUUAAUUAAUUAUUUAAAUUCUUAUUAUUCACUAGAUUAAUAGUCUUUGAAAUAAUUUAUAGGUAAUAUCAUUAUCAUUUAUUUAUCCUAUUUUUUAAUCCAAAUAAUAUCCUAAUUGAGAGAAACAAAAUAGAAUUAAGGAUUCCUUAUUUUGUGUAUAUUAAGAUAAUAAGAUGAAUCAUAUCUGAGAAUUUGUCAUUUGAUUUUAUAUUUAUUAAAUUUGGCCUUUAUGCCAUACAAAUAUGAAGAUUAUAAUUACUCAAAGUAACAGUUAACGGUUAAUUUAAAAGUUAAUCUCUGCACAUACCCCUAUCCGCCUUAGGAUAGAUGGUUCUUGUAGUGCUAAUCUGAGUCUACAAACCUAUAUAGGAUCUCUUUGAUAGAGAUCUGUAUCUAAAUUAUUUAUUUCAUUUAGAAUAUAGUCAUGAUUUAUGAUUAAAUUGGGGUUUUUCAAUUCAUAUAAUUCAUAUUACCAAAUAUGCAUCUAAACCCUGACACUAAGGUUUUAUUUUGUGAGUGGAUAGUAUAAUUCCAUAGUUGAAAGAUUUAUUUCAGUUAAUAAAUUAACAUCUAUUCUUCCAUUGUCACGAUAAAGAUAGAUAUUACCUCUACCCUAUUUGGACCUGAUUAGUUAAUUAAUACCUAGUUCUGUAAAAUUUAUUUUUAAAUUUACAGUUAAGAUUUCUCCUAGCUAGGAAAAAUAAUCAAAUUAGUUAAUUAAUUCAUAAAUAGAUAACUAUCCGGUUUCUUAAGUUCACAAUUAUCAAAUGUGAGCAUCUUGUAUUUUUCUAACUAAUUUAAUGACAUUAUUUCUCUUUAAUUAUAAUUUUUUUCACAAAAAUAGAUGGACAGAUAUCUUUUUUAUUGUGUUUAGUUUAUAUUGAUUAUUUUUUAUUAGUUAUUUUAACUUAACUAUUAAAUAUAACUUUAAUUUGCUAAAAUAAUAAUUAUUUUCAAAUAUAACUUUAACCUUUUUUCAAUAAAAUUUAAAUAGGGUUUAAUAAAAAGAUUAAAAUACCAUAAAUAUAAAUAAAAUAGUUGUAUCUCUCCAUCUAAUUGUAUAGAAUAAAUAUUUAUUUUUAAUAUUUACUAAAAAUUUAUUAAAUAUAAACUAUUAUACUACCGUACCCUAAACCGACACAGGUUUGUAGGUAGAGAAUACUAAGGCGUAGAGCUAAAAGUUGUUAAGGAACUCGGCAAAUUCACCUCAUAAGUUUGACAACAAGAGGGACCACAUAUAUACAUUAAUGUUUAACACUCCGGAUUGUUAAAUUAAUUAUAUAAGGUGGUGGCACAAAAUCGGAGGCCCCGACUGUUUACUAAAAACACAACACAGUGCAAUCAUUAAUAUGAUAGUAUACUGUGUGAAAUUUGCCCGAUGCCAUUAAUAUAAGAGCGGUUAUGGGUAACUGUGACUAAUCGAAAAUCUGGUUAAUAGCGGUCUUAACUAUGAGGAUCCUAAGGUAGCAAAAUCAGUUGGCCAUUAAAUGUGGUCCGGUAUCAAUAAUGUAACGAUGGCCUCACUGUCUCUACAACUUGCUCAGUGAAAUUGAAUUACACGUGCAGAUGCGUGUUGCCUCCAGGGGGACGGGAAGACCCUAUGCAGCUUUACUGUAGUUAGUUAUCAUAUGAAUCUAGAACAAUCUUAGUUAAUAGAAAAUAGGGAAGUCGAGAGACAAAUCUUGGAAACCUUAUAAUUAAGAUUGGGUUUAUGUUUACCUUACAAUUAAAAAAAAAAGGGAGAGUUGACUAAUUGGCAGUUUGACUGGGGCGGUCGUCUUUAAUAGAGUAGCAAAGUACAUCCAAAUAUUUCCUAAAAUAUUAAGUCUUACGACUUAAAUUCUCAAGAUAAGAAUAAUUGUAACAAAAGAUUAAUAAAUUUAAUUUAAAUAUUGAAUAUUGAUCUUUAAGACCUUUUAUUUUUUAUUUGAGUUUAAAACAAAUAACUUAUUCUCUUUUUUUUUUUUAAUAUUAAAAUUUAUUUAAAAAGAGAUAAGUAAUAAUUAAUAGAUAACUACCAAAAAUUAAAUUCAUUAUUAUGUCAAAAAUAAUAAUGAAUUUUAAGAUAGUAAGUAGCCAAACAAUUUUAUUAAUUAACAAAUUAAAUAAAAACUUUCUCUUUAGCUACUUCUCAGUAUCCUCUGGCUUUAGCUCAAGGGAAUUUUGUUUUCUAUUUUCUUUUUAAUAGUUAGGCCAAUUAGCAUAGUUUUAAUUAGAAAUCUGAAAAUUUUAGGCCUUAAUUGGCUGCUGUGAAAAUUAGUGACCCUUACUAACUCAAUACCUUUAAAUUAUCUGGAUAUAUAAUUUAGAGGAGUAAUAUUAGAGGAAAUGCUAUGUUUAACAAAGUAGGUAAGGGAAAAGAGUUUGUCUAAAAAUAAUAAUACACUAAAAAAUUUUAAAAGGUAUAGCUAGAAAUUGAAUGGAGAUCAAUCAACCAGUGAAGGGUUGCGCAGAGUUCAAUGGCGGUAAGCAUGCUUAACUGAAAGACCUAAAAGUCACACAGAUACGUAAGUAGGGCAUAGUGACCCCUCGCUAUAAUAUGGGAUAGACGGGGAUCAAUUAAUAAAAGUUACGCUAGGGAUAACAGGCUGAUAGCCGACGAGAGUACACAUUGUCUCGGCUGUUUGGCACCUCGAUGUCGACUCAUCCUAUCCUCCGGGGGAAGAAGCUUGGAAGGGUUCGGCUGUUCGCCGAUUAAAAGGGUACGUGAGUUGGGUUUAAUACGACGUGAGUCAGUAUGGUCCCUAUCUUCUGGAGGGAUAAGUAGUAAAAAGGGGCAGACCUUCUAGUACGAAAGGAUCAAUAGGCUGUGUUUCUCUAGUGUACCAAUUGUUUGUACUUUUUUGUAAGGGACUCAAAGUAUCUUGAAGGCAAAAGUAAAGAAAAAUGGGGAAAAUCCUUUUUAAACUUUAAAAUUUAAAGUUUACUCUUAAUAAUAUAAAAAUUAUUGAGAAAAAAAGGUAACAAAAUCGGAAUGCAUAGUUGGGUAGCCACAAACAUAAUAGAUAAGUGCUGAAUGUCUAUAAAGCAAGAAUCUAACCCCUAGAUACUAAAAAAAUGAUUAUUUUAUUUUCUUGUAAUAGUUAUAGACUUGAUAAGAGACUCUAAAACAAAGAGAAUAAUUAAUCAUUAAUUAAGAAAUAGAACAUUUCUAGAUAGGCUGCAAAUGA